GCUGCCUGGGUCGGCUGGGCCUGUGGGCCUGCGUCCGACAGCGCGCGGCCGUGCUUUCUAAGCGGGCUCGGCAGCACCAGACUUCACCGGCCCGGCGCGGGGCUCACAAGUGCUCGCACUCCCUGCGGCCGGCGCGCUGACCGGAGCCUCUGGGUCUCGCACGCAGCAGCUGCAGACGCUGCCCGGCGCGGUGGGGCUGUGAGCAAAACGGCCCGCCGGUGUGGUUGCCCAGACUGUGCUGGGCCCUCCUAGGUGGAUGGCCCUGCCCCAGCCUAACUUCUGUACCCCAGCAUAACCUCCAAAGUAACAGCCGUGCCCUGGGAGCCUGUUCAACACUGAACAUAUCCCACAAUAACACUGUUCCAGCGUCGCUGGUAAAAAGCAGAAAUGGCUUCGCUGGAGGCAUCGACAAAUCUAAUGCAGUAACCUCAUUUUACAGAAGAGAACUCUAAGAGGAUAACUAACUUGGCCAAGAU
Molecule: long non-coding RNA, 476 nt
Filed under: Homo sapiens (human)
Lineage: Eukaryota; Metazoa; Chordata; Mammalia; Primates; Hominidae
Description: HSALNT0327285
Source: RNAcentral